GGUCUAGUGGCAGUGGGGCUGGCUCGGCGGAUCCCUGUCAGUCACUUUGCUCUCGUACUAAGUGUACUUUUGUGCCAUUUAAGCAGCCGAUGGUGUCAUUGGCGUUGAGAGUGCAGCUUCUACAGCUCACACUGAAGGCUUUGGGGACCCAGGAGGGCGCGAGUUGUUUUAAGAUACAUGGCCAUUUGACAUACCCGUGUUAAGUUCAAUCUUGCUACAAAAGAAGGCCAUUUGUACUUCCUGACCCUGAAAGCAAGAACUGUGUCUCUUUAAAUCUACUGAGGAAGAUAUUCCUUCUGGCCCACAGGAUGCCAAAAUGACUCGAUGAUUUAUUUAUGCAGCGCUUGGCAGCCCAUCGUCCAGAUUGUGGCUGAAGCUGAAUUUUAUGAGCCUUCCCCCAAAAAACUGGAAGAUUUUGCCAUCUUACAAGCCCUCUUCCUUAAGAAAGAGAAAGAUGAGCAGUAAAUAUCCUCUGGCACGUCGGCACAUUCUGUCUCUUCGUGUUUUCAUGAAGUGUUCAUGACAUGGGAUUGAAGUACUCCUUUGUGUUCAGUAUUUGAUAUCAAAUCCUUUACAAGCAAGAAACAGAACGGAAAUGGAGAGGAGAGCCCAGCAUGACUUGCGCCGUGCCAAAGGAAUACGUGCAGAAACGUCUACUCUUGAGCCUUCCAGUGGCCACUGGUACCUUUGGACCUUGAGCUGGAGCUGCAGCCUAGAGUUAUUAUUUAGCUUUGCCCUUUGUCUUUGAGAAAUAUCUUGAAAGAGCCAGGUUGGUCCAGACCUGCUGGCAAGCCUGCAGCCCCAUCCACCGAUUACCUAAUACACUUGUGACAUCUGCUUUCCUUGUUGUGAGAAAACACAGGGAGGAAGUGUGUGCAGAAGGGGUGAUGCCUGACCUACACACCCGGCAAUACCAGAAGUUUCACUACCUUCCGUUGGUAAACGCUUCAGGGAAGGCUCUGCAACCCUGAACGUGUUUUAUUGUAGAACCUCACUAGGAAACUCAUCAGUAUUUAUUAAAGAUGAAUUAAAAGAAGGAGGAAAAGGAAAAACGGGAUAGUGAAGAGAAUAGAUGAAUGAAAAAGAAGCAAAGGGAAGAGAGGAGGAAGGGACAAAGAGGGCAAGAAAAGAGAAAAGAGAGAUGAGAGACCAGGACU
RNAcentral lists this long non-coding RNA (1157 nucleotides) under Mus musculus (house mouse). RNAcentral's name for it is "RIKEN cDNA 2600014E21 gene". The record is from RNAcentral. Lineage: Eukaryota; Metazoa; Chordata; Mammalia; Rodentia; Muridae.